Molecule: long non-coding RNA, 92 nt
Organism: Myripristis murdjan (pinecone soldierfish)
Lineage: Eukaryota; Metazoa; Chordata; Actinopteri; Holocentriformes; Holocentridae
Exons: 3
Source: RefSeq, a predicted model, not a curated record
GAGUACCUUCCUCCACAAGUUUUCUGUGUCUCCCACAUGGCUUGUGGCAAACUCCAAAUGGAUUUCUUAUGGCUUUCUUUGGGAAUUAAGAA